GAUGAACGCUGGCGGCGUGCCUAAUACAUGCAAGUCGAGCGAACGGACGAGAAGCUUGCUUCUCUGAUGUUAGCGGCGGACGGGUGAGUAACACGUGGAUACCCUACCUAUAAGACUGGGAUAACUUCGGGAAACCGGCGCUAAUACCGGAUGAUCUUUUGAACCGCAUGGUUCAAAAGUGAAAGACGGCCUUGCUGUCACUUAUCGAUGGAUCCGCGCUGCAUUAGCUAGUUGGUAAGGUAACGGCUUACCAAGGCAACGAUGCAUAGCCGACCUGAGAGGGUGAUCGGCCACACUGGAACUGAGACACGGUCCAGACUCCUACGAGAGGCAGCAGUAGGGAAUCUUCCGCAAUGGGCGAAAGCCUGACGGAGCAACGCCGCGUGAGUGAUGAAGGUCUUCGGAUCGUAAAACUCUGUUAUUAGGGAAGAACAUAUGUGUAAGUAACUGUGCACAUCUUGACGGUACCGAAUCAGAAAGCCACGGCUAACUACGUG
RNAcentral lists this ribosomal RNA (497 nucleotides) under uncultured bacterium. RNAcentral's name for it is "partial 16S ribosomal RNA". It matches the Rfam family "Bacterial small subunit ribosomal RNA", at positions 28 to 507 of the family's 1533-position model. The record is from RNAcentral.